AACAGAUAUGUGGAUGGACAAGGGA
This 25-nucleotide non-coding RNA is filed under the name Rattus norvegicus (Norway rat). The record is from RNAcentral. Lineage: Eukaryota; Metazoa; Chordata; Mammalia; Rodentia; Muridae.